AAAUGGAUUAGUGGCGCACGGGUGAGUAAUGCAUAGAGUAAUGUGCUCCCAUAGUCUGGGAUAGCCACUGGAAACGGUGAUUAAUACUGGAUACUCCCUACGGGGGAAAGUUUUUCGCUAUGGGAUCGGUCCUAUGUCCUAUCAGCUUGUUGGUGAGGUAAUGGCUCACCAAGGCUAUGACGGGUAUCCGGCCUGAGAGGGUGAUCGGACACACUGGAACUGAGACACGGUCCAGACUCCUACGGGAGGCAGCAGUAGGGAAUAUUGCUCAAUGGGGCGAAAGCCCUGAAGCAGCAACGUCCGCGUGGAGGAUGAAGGUUUUACGGAUUGUAAACUCCUUUUGUUAGAGAAGAUA
This 355-nucleotide ribosomal RNA is filed under the name uncultured Helicobacter sp. RNAcentral's name for it is "bacterial SSU rRNA". It matches the Rfam family "Bacterial small subunit ribosomal RNA", at positions 85 to 450 of the family's 1533-position model. Lineage: Bacteria; Pseudomonadati; Campylobacterota; Epsilonproteobacteria; Campylobacterales; Helicobacteraceae. The record is from RNAcentral.